This 1886-nucleotide small RNA is filed under the name Pongo abelii (Sumatran orangutan). RNAcentral describes it as "retained intron". The record is from RNAcentral. Lineage: Eukaryota; Metazoa; Chordata; Mammalia; Primates; Hominidae.
CCACCCGCAGGGCCGCGUUCGCACCAAAACCGUGAAGAAGGCGGCCCGGGUCAUCAUAGAAAAGUACUACACGCGCCUGGGCAACGACUUCCACACGAACAAGCGCGUGUGCGAGGAGAUCGCCAUUAUCCCCAGCAAAAAGCUCCGCAACAAGAUAGCAGGCUAUGUCACGCAUCUGAUGAAGCGGAUUCAGAGAGGCCCAGUAAGAGGUAUCUCCAUCAAGCUGCAGGAGGAGGAGAGAGAAAGGAGAGACAAUUAUGUUCCUGAGGUCUCAGCCUUGGAUCAGGAGAUAAUUGAAGUAGAUCCUGACACUAAGGAAAUGCUGAAGCUUUUGGUAAGUGUUUGCUGGAUUCCUAGAGUGGUAUUUUCCUGGUCAAAAACCAUCAGUAGGUCUUAUUAUCCAAGGUCACCCAGCUAGUAAGUGGCAGAGUUGGGAAUCCCAUCUAAACUUCUAGCCACUAAACUGGACUGCUUUCAUAAGGGGUGUAGCGGAAGUUGUGUGCAUUGAGUUUGCUCGCCACAAGAUCAUGAUUCCCAAAUCUAGUGGCUUCCAGGACACCUUUUCUCUCUUGGCUGCUUCUGUUCUUGGUUUUAUAGCUGGCUUACGUUGCCCCCUUUGUGUCAGCCCUGGUUGAAUCUGCCUGCUUUUCUUCUGUGAAGGCAUUCCUUUGGUGUCUCCAUGCUAACCACUCAGAAAUGAGCUUUGGUCCAUUUCCAGGUACAUUCAAGGCACUACUUAGGUAGUUCACGAGUAUCUUCAUUGCACUUUGAUGUUUUUUCUGUGGCUUAUCUUAGUCCUUUUGCAUACUUGGGUGAAAGCAUGGGCUUCAAAAUCCAUUGGGCGGUUGGUGAUUUUGAACAACUUCAUUUUUCCUAUUUUUAUGGUCAUUAAAUGUUUAAGAAACUCAAAAAGGUAAUAGCAAAAUGAACUCACAUGUACUUUCCCAGCUUCAGAAAAACAUCACCGGUACAGCUACAGCCCCGCUGUGGGUCUUUUCUUCCUGAAAUAACCACUGCGCUGAAUGCAGCUUUUUUGUUGAAACUAAAAUGGGUUUCUGAGGACCAAAUAGGACAUGAAGUUCCAGGUAUAAGUUGGGCCCUUUGGCUUCUUGCCUUGCCUACCAGCCUGAACUUGUUUGAGGGCAGGGUCUGCUCUUGCCUCCCUCCCUUCUGCUUGAUGCCUUGUGUACUUGGACCCUUCACAAAUGUUGAUGAGAUUAGUAAUAGCUCUUACCCGGGGCUGGUCCUGGAAAGCAAGUGGCACUGUGUAUUCUCAAAGGGACAGAGUUUUGCUUUAGAGGACAUUUAGCAAUGUCCAGACACAUUUUUGAUUCUCAUAGCCAGGGAAUACCUGCUAACUUCUAAUGGGUAGAGGCCAAGGAUGUUGCUAAACUUUGUGCAAUACACAAUGCAGCCGCCUAUAACAAACAAUGUCCAGCCCAGGAUGUCUACGUUGCCAAGAUUGAGAAAUGGUGUUUUAGAGUGAUUGAUAGGAAGGGGUUGUGAAAACAGAUACAAAUGGCAUGGUACAUUGGGUAAAAGUCAUAGAGUUGUAAAUGGGGAUACCACAUGAUCAGGUGUGUGUUGAAGGAAGAUCACUCUGGAAAAGUGGGAGGCAUUGAGAACCCUGUGGGCUCUUAAAGGGUCCUUCAGGUCGCCUCUGGACCCCCUUGAGAGUGCUGUGGCUCUAGGGGCCUCUGUUUUCUUCUGGGGUCCACCCACAGAUCUCACCAGUAACUGCUCACUGAAUCCAUUUUCUCGUUCCAGGACUUCGGCAGUCUGUCCAACCUUCAGGUCACUCAGCCUACAGUUGGGAUGAAUUUCAAAACGCCUCGGGGACCUGUUUGAAUUUUUUCUGUAGUGCUGUAUUAUUUUCAAUAAAUCUG